GACGAACGCUGGCGGCGCGCCUAACACAUGCAAGUCGAACGGAGCUUAGAGAGCUUGCUUUUUAAGCUUAGUGGCGAACGGGUGAGUAACGCGUGAGUAACCUGCCCUAGAGUGGGGGACAACAGUUGGAAACGACUGCUAAUACCGCAUAAGCGCACAGGAUUGCAUGAUCCAGUGUGAAAAACUCCGGUGGUAUGAGAUGGACCCGCGUCUGAUUAGCCAGUUGGCGGGUAACGGCCCACCAAAGCGACGAUCAGUAGCCGACCUGAGAGGGUGACCGGCCACAUUGGGACUGAGACACGGCCCAAAUCCUACGGGAGCAGCAGUGGGAUAUGCNAUGGGGAAACCCUGAUGC
RNAcentral lists this ribosomal RNA (355 nucleotides) under uncultured bacterium. RNAcentral describes it as "bacterial SSU rRNA". It matches the Rfam family "Bacterial small subunit ribosomal RNA", at positions 28 to 392 of the family's 1533-position model. The record is from RNAcentral.